CAGCAGCCACGGUAAUACGUAGGGUGCUAGCGUUAAUCGGAAUUACUGGGCGUAAAGCGUGCGCAGGCGGCUAUGCAAGACAGAUGUGAAAUCCCCGGGCUCAACCUGGGAACUGCAUUUGUGACUGCAUGGCUAGAGUACGGUAGAGGGGGAUGGAAUUCCGCGUGCAGCAGUGAAAUGCGUAGAUAUGCGGAGGAACACCGAUGGCGAAGGCAAUCCCCUGGACCGGUACUGACGCUCAUGCACGAAAGCGUGGGGAGCAAACAGGAUUAGAUACCCGCGUAGUCCCUGUCUCUUAUAC
Molecule: ribosomal RNA, 301 nt
Filed under: uncultured bacterium
Lineage: Bacteria
Description: partial 16S ribosomal RNA
Rfam family: Bacterial small subunit ribosomal RNA
Source: RNAcentral